RNAcentral lists this ribosomal RNA (850 nucleotides) under uncultured bacterium. Its description in RNAcentral is "bacterial SSU rRNA". It matches the Rfam family "Bacterial small subunit ribosomal RNA", at positions 39 to 873 of the family's 1533-position model. The record is from RNAcentral.
GCGGCAGCUACACAUGCAGUCGAGCGGCAGCGACACAUUGACCCUUCGGGGGAUUUGUUGGGCGGCGCAGCGGCGGACGGGUGAGUAAUGCCUGGGAACAUGCCUUAGUGUGGGGGAUAACCAUUGGAAACGGUGGCUAAUACCGCAUAAUCUCUACGGAGCAAAGAGGGGGACCUUCGGGCCUCUCGCGCUAAGAUUGGCCCAGGUGGGAUUAGCUAGUAGGUGGGGUAACGGCUCACCUAGGCGACGAUCCCUAGCUGGUCUGAGAGGAUGAUCAGCCACACUGGAACUGAGACACGGUCCAGACUCCUACGGGAGGCAGCAGUGGGGAAUAUUGCACAAUGGGGGAAACCCUGAUGCAGCCAUGCCGCGUGUGUGAAGAAGGCCUUCGGGUUGUAAAGCACUUUCAGCAGUGAGGAAGGCGGUAUCGUUAAUAGCGGUAUCGUUUGACGUUAGCUGCAGAAGAAGCACCGGCUAACUCCGUGCCAGCAGCCGCGGUAAUACGGAGGGUGCGAGCGUUAAUCGGAAUUACUGGGCGUAAAGCGCAUGCAGGCGGCUUGUUAAGCCAGAUGUGAAAGCCCGGGGCUCAACCUCGGAAUCGCAUUUGGGAACUGGCAGGCUAGAGUCUUGUAGAGGGGGGUAGAAUUUCAGGUGUAGCGGUGAAAUGCGUAGAGAUCUGAAGGAAUACCGGUGGCGAAGGCGGCCCCUGGACAAAGACUGACGCUCAGAUGCGAAAGCGGUGGGGAGCAAACAGGAUUAGAUACCCUGUAGUCCACGCGUAACGAUGUUCUACUUUGAGUGUGUUCUUGAACACUGCUUUCGGAGCUAACCGCCGUUAAGUAGAACCGCC